RNAcentral lists this ribosomal RNA (380 nucleotides) under uncultured archaeon. RNAcentral's name for it is "bacterial SSU rRNA". It matches the Rfam family "Archaeal small subunit ribosomal RNA", at positions 473 to 853 of the family's 1478-position model. The record is from RNAcentral.
AUACCCGCGGCCCAAGUGGUGGUCGAUAUUAUUGAGCCUAAAACGUCCGUAGCCGGUCUUGUAAAUCCUUGGGUAAAUCGACCAGCUUAACUGUUCGAAGUCCGGGGAGACUGCAAGACUUGGGAUCGGGGGAGGUGAGAGGUACUUCUGGGGUAGGGGUAAAAUCCUGUAAUCCUAGAAGGACCACCGGUGGCGAAGGCGUCUCACUAGAACGAAUCCGACGGUGAGGGACGAAGCCCCGGGGCGCAAACGGGAUUAGAUACCCCGGUAGUCCAGGGUGUAAACGCUGCGGGCUUGGUGUUGGGGGUCCUUUGAGGGCGCCCAGUGCCGGAGAGAAGUUGUUAAGCCUGCUGCUUGGGGAGUACGUCCGCAAGGAUGAA